Long non-coding RNA from Esox lucius (northern pike), 1574 nucleotides. The record is from Ensembl. Lineage: Eukaryota; Metazoa; Chordata; Actinopteri; Esociformes; Esocidae.
UAGCAUCUCUGCUGGAAGAAAAUGGCAACACAAGCAUAUACAGCAGACUAAAACGCACGCCCACUUUUCAGUGGCUAGCAGCCAGCUUAACGCAGUCGGGCUGCUGGUGGAAAGCUGCCUGAGAUGCAAAUUAGCAUAUGCAAAUUGAGAUCAGGAGAAAAGCGGCAAAAGCUGGUGGGCCGCUGGCUGUACGACAUUUUAGCCUUGCUCACUGGGGACUACUGAGGAGGUUACAGCCCUCAGAGUAGAGGGGGGCAAAUGAAACCCUCUUCACUGGGAAGAGGAAUUCAUCAAAAACUGGAUGGGAAGCCUUCGUGAAUCAGGCAGAGUGAGAUAUCUCUCACUUCUGGCAGCUGCUGCCCUCUCCCUCAGCUCUUCCCUUUCUAGAGCCUGCCUCUCUCCUCUUCCUUCUCAGCCUGUAUUUUGAGGAAGUUGAGGAGUUCACCUGCCCACUUUUUCUCUGCUGGCCUGGCUCUCUCCCUGGCAGGGGCAGAGGAGGAGGCACCUGCAGUGGAUGUAAUGUGUGCUGCAACUACCAUGGGUGGAUUAAGAGUGCUGCCCCCGGAGUGCUGCAUCCAUUGUGGCGUACCACUGCCAGGAGGCAGCAGUGACUCCUCCUGCCUCCACCCAUUUCCCCGAUGGUGGGUCCCUCAGCUCCUUAAGGCAAAGAUUCAACUUUAAGUUGCAGAGUUGCAAGGAACUUAGACAUGUGUAUAUCAUUUUAAAUAUGAAAUCAUGAGGAUUUUGCAUUAAACAAAAAAUCGAAUGAAAGCACUCAUCUUGUCACAAAUUGCCUGAUCUGUGGAAGUGCCAACAAACAACUGGUUUUGGGAACUGUAUAACACCGUAAUAAGCAUCAUCACAUCUGACUUUACAAUUGUUGAGGGAGAAGCUAUUGCAGUAAAUAAGCAUAACUUUUUUCAAUUGUUGUAAAUUACCUUGUUGGUUUUUUCAAUUGUUCCGCUUUUAUUUUUAUUUUUUUUGCUUGUUUGGCUCUAAUAAGGGAACUCUGCCUGAUUCACAAAUAAUGUACUGAUAAUACUAAACACAGUGAGUUCAAUGGUUGAAUGUCAUUGCUAUACUGGGUUAUUUGUGGUCCAAGAUUAUUUAAAUCUUUUAGAACUGUUCUGAUUCAGCCUGUGGAAUCGGAAACAAGCACUUGCCAAUAGCAAUAGUAAGGCAUUUACUUUAUGAGAUGGUUGGGGUUUCCGUUAAUGUUUUCAACUUAAGCAAAAUGGAUUGGUGCCAACAUGAUGUAUCCUUUCCAUCCUCUGUCUCAUUCUGGACCUCUGGAUUAGAUGCCUUUGCUCAGCUGCCCCAUAUAUAUAGUGGAUGUAAUAUAUGCAGUGGACGUAAUAUUACAUCUAAUCGGUUGUCUUGUCUAUCUUUUACAUCUGCUUUUUUCUGCUGGUAGCUCGUUAAUGUGCUUGUGAAAUUCACGAGGUACCAGCGGGAAAAACCUAAGCAAAAAAAUAGGCAACUGAUUGAAAAGAUAGGCUAAAUAGAUAUGCAGUUUCUUAUUGAUAACGUAUUUGUGCAUGCACACAAUCAAUACGUGAGGCCCUUGAUUUCUU